UACGUAGGGGGCAAGCGUUGUCCGGAUUUAUUGGGCGUAAAGAGCGUGUAGGCGGCCAGGUAGGUCUGGUGUGAAAACUCGAGGCUCAACCUCGAGAGGUCAUCGGAAACCAUUUGGCUAGAGUCCGGAAGAGGAGAGUGGAAUUCCUGGUGUAGCGGUGAAAUGCGCAGAUAUCAGGAAGAACACCCGUGGCGAAGGCGGCUCUCUGGGACGGUACUGACGCUGAGACGCGAAAGCGUGGGGAGCGAACAGG
Molecule: ribosomal RNA, 253 nt
Filed under: uncultured bacterium
Lineage: Bacteria
Description: partial 16S ribosomal RNA
Rfam family: Bacterial small subunit ribosomal RNA
Source: RNAcentral